GUCAUCAGUCACAUGAAUUAUGACAAUAGUUUUUUGUGCCCUUUCAUUUCAAACAUCAACAGGUUACAACAGAAACUAGACCAAAAAUAAUUCACAAUACCUGGAGGGUGGAUUCAAAUAUAAUCCAAUUNCUAUAAUUCCACAUUUAAACACUAGUAAAUCAUAAUAAUCAGCUCCUUUGAGAAACUUGCCCAUCAUCUAAAGAAAGGGGAAAAAGAAAAGAUCAUUGAUCUACAAUUUGCU
Molecule: unclassified non-coding RNA, 243 nt
Filed under: Hevea brasiliensis (rubber tree)
Lineage: Eukaryota; Viridiplantae; Streptophyta; Magnoliopsida; Malpighiales; Euphorbiaceae
Source: RNAcentral